AACGAACGCUGGCGGCAUGCCUAACACAUGCAAGUCGAACGAGACCUUCGGGUUUAGUGGCGCACGGGUGCGUAACGCGUGGGAACCUGCCCUUAGGUUCGGAAUAACUCCCCGAAAGGGGUGCUAAUACCGGAUAAUGUCUUCGGACCAAAGAUUUAUCGCCUUUGGAUGGGCCCGCGUUGGAUUAGCUGGUUGGUAGGGUAAAAGCCUACCAAGGCGACGAUCCAUAGCUGGUCUGAGAGGAUGAUCAGCCACACUGGGACUGAGACACGGCCCAGACUCCUACGGGAAGGAGCAGUGGGGAAUAUUGGACAAUGGGCGAAAGCCUGAUCCAGCAAUGCCGCGUGAGUGAUGAAGGCCUUAGGGUUGUAAAGCUCUUUUACCCGGGAUGAUAAUGACAGUACCGGGAGAAUAAGCUCCGGCUAACUCCGUG
RNAcentral lists this ribosomal RNA (433 nucleotides) under uncultured bacterium. Its description in RNAcentral is "partial 16S ribosomal RNA". It matches the Rfam family "Bacterial small subunit ribosomal RNA", at positions 29 to 507 of the family's 1533-position model. The record is from RNAcentral.